AAAACGGCCCUUUUUAGGGCCACGACAUUUU
Molecule: non-coding RNA, 31 nt
Organism: Tropilaelaps mercedesae
Lineage: Eukaryota; Metazoa; Arthropoda; Arachnida; Mesostigmata; Laelapidae
Source: Rfam